GAGUGCUGCAUAAGCAGGGCCCUUAGGAUUGUUAAUGAUCCCUCCCAUCGAUCCAACAAUCCCUAUGACCACUCCUACUAUCAGGAAGGAGAUACCAUAACAUUAAGACAAAGACUGUUUGGACGAGAAACAGCUUCUUUCCCCUGGCCAUGAGACUACAGAACUCUCCGCUAGCAUCCAGGUCUCCAGACUUGUAAAACCUGAUAAAUCCGAAGGAGCAGCAUUGACUGAUACAGUUUGGCUCCAGUGACAUCGCAGGAGUUGUAGGUCAGCGUUGAACUUAACAUGGGACUGGCUUGAGGACUCCAGCUCUGGAUUCAUCCUCAGGAUUUACUUCUGAAGCCUAUACCAUGCAACUCAACCUGCAAAAUGUUUCCAGUAUUUGGCAACACACACAAAAUGCUGGUGGAACACAGCAGGCCAGGCAGCAUCUAUAAGGCGAAGCACUGUCGACGUUUCGGGCCGAGACCCUUCAUCAGUAUUUUGCAUUUGUUUUUGUUUCAGAUUCCUAGCAGCUGCAGCUCUUCUAUUUCUGAGCACAUGGGAAAAUUGCUUGAUGGUAACACGGGAGAACUGUUCAUGAAUGUGCAAAAUGAGCUAUGGUUCAUUAGUUCAGUAGUUCAGUAGUUCAUGAACUACUGGAUAAAGCUAACAGGUUAAAGACCUGGAGCUAGAAGAUACCCAAGCAAGUCAAUGCCACUCUAGAAAGUUCCAACUUUCUCUCUCUGAUGUUCUAUUCCCUUUAGGAUCUUCUGAAUCCUCGACCUCGCUCAUCCUCACUCUCAUCAUCAGACCAAGACUUAUUACUUUGGUCAUCUCUGGGACCUUCCAUUGAACAAGCUGUUGCUCAUACCCUUUGGCCACUUGCCAUAUCCUAUUGUUUUUCCUGAUUAACUGACUGGAAGCAUGCGGAUGAGAGCUUGGAGUUAAAUUGCCUUGCCCUCACACCAUUGAGGUUAUUGUGGUUUUCUAGCUUUUCCCACUGAAUUAAAAUUGUGAUUUAAAACAAUGAUUUGGCAAAAGAAGAUUAAGUCAUGCAUUCAGCAGAGCAUCAGACUGGAAGGCCAACAAAAGACUGUGAGAAUGGCUGAGAGGAUCAUAAGGGUCCCCCUACCAUUCACUGGGAAUAUUUAUCCCAGAAUGCUGCACAUGUAGGGCCCUUAGCAUGAUCAAGGAUCCCACCCAUCCAUGCAGCAGCCUCUUUGACACUCUACCAUCAGGCAAGAGACUCCGAUGGAUUUAGACAAGAAUGCUCAGAAUGGGAAACAGUUUUUUCCAUAGGCCCUUAGGCUCCUGGACUUCCUGCCACUUCGCAUUCAAAGUGCCAAUGAUUAAUUUGCUCUGUAUCAUACAACAUUUAAUUUAUGCACUUUACUUUGUUUAUCUAUGCGUAACUCAUUUGUAGAUUUAAUUCUUAUUUUCCUAAGAUAUUGCGUGUUAUGUGUACUAUCGUGCUUUACACCAUGGUCCUCAGAAACGUCUCAUUUAACGGUAUCGAUGUACAUAGUUAAGUAUACAAUAAACUUGACUUGA
This is a long non-coding RNA of Hypanus sabinus (Atlantic stingray), 1533 nucleotides long. RefSeq lists it as uncharacterized. The record is from RefSeq and is a predicted model, not a curated record. The transcript has 3 exons. Lineage: Eukaryota; Metazoa; Chordata; Chondrichthyes; Myliobatiformes; Dasyatidae.